UCCACGCUGUAAACGGUGCGCACUAGAUGUGGGCGGUACUUCUGGUCCCGUCUGUGUCCAAGCCAACGCGUUAAGUGCGCCGCCUGGGGACUACGGCCGCAAGGCUAAAACUCAAAGGAAUUGACGGGGGCCCGCACAAGCGGUGGGGCAUGUGGCUCAAUUCGAGGCAACGCGAAGAACCUUACCUGGGUUUGACAUAUGCCGGACCGUCCCGGAAACGGGGCUUUCCUCUU
Molecule: ribosomal RNA, 233 nt
Filed under: uncultured bacterium
Lineage: Bacteria
Description: partial 16S ribosomal RNA
Rfam family: Bacterial small subunit ribosomal RNA
Source: RNAcentral